CUAGCUGUAAACGUUGGGUACUGGGUAUUGGGGGGCAACAAACCCUCAGUGCCGAAGCGAACGCGUUAAGUAUCCCGCCUGGGGACUACGGCCGCAAGGUUAAAACUCAAAGGAAUUGAC
RNAcentral lists this ribosomal RNA (120 nucleotides) under uncultured bacterium. Its description in RNAcentral is "partial 16S ribosomal RNA". It matches the Rfam family "Bacterial small subunit ribosomal RNA", at positions 796 to 914 of the family's 1533-position model. The record is from RNAcentral.